This 354-nucleotide ribosomal RNA is filed under the name uncultured bacterium. RNAcentral describes it as "bacterial SSU rRNA". It matches the Rfam family "Bacterial small subunit ribosomal RNA", at positions 1 to 334 of the family's 1533-position model. The record is from RNAcentral.
AUAGUAGUGUCAGAGUUUGAUCCUGGCUCAGGAUGAACGCUGGCGGCGUGCCUAACACAUGCAAGUCGAACGGGGUUAUAUGUCAGAAGUUUUCGGAUGGAAGAUAUGUAACCUAGUGGCGGACGGGUGAGUAACGCGUGAGUAACCUGCCUCAUAGCGGGGGAUAACAGAGAGAAAUCACUGCUAAUACCGCAUAAGCACACGAGGUCGCAUGGCCUAGGGUGAAAAGAUUUAUCACUAUGAGAUGGACUCGCGUCUGAUUAGCUAGUUGGCGGGGUAAAGGCCCACCAAGGCGACGAUCAGUAGCCGAUCUGAGAGGAUGGACGGCCACAUUGGGACUGAGACACGGCCCAG